UGAGUAACACGUGGGCAAUCUGCCCUGCACUUCGGGAUAAGCCUGGGAAACUGGGUCUAAUACCGGAUAGGACCUUUAGGCGCAUGCCUUUUGGUGGAAAGCUUUUGCGGUGUGGGAUGGGCCCGCGGCCUAUCAGCUUGUUGGUGGGGUGAUGGCCUACCAAGGCGACGACGGGUAGCCGGCCUGAGAGGGUGUCCGGCCACACUGGGACUGAGAUACGGCCCAGACUCCUACGGGAGGCAGCAGUGGGGAAUAUUGCACAAUGGGCGCAAGCCUGAUGCAGCGACGCCGCGUGGGGGAUGACGGCCUUCGGGUUGUAAACCUCUUUCACCAUCGACGAAGGUCCGGGUUUUCUCGGAUUGACGGUAGGUGGAGAAGAAGCACCGGCCAACUACGUGCCAGCAGCCGCGGUAAUACGUAGGGUGCGAGCGUUGUCCGGAAUUACUGGGCGUAAAGAGCUCGUAGGUGGUUUGUCGCGUUGUUCGUGAAAUCUCACGGCUUAACUGUGAGCGUGCGGGCGAUACGGGCAGACUAGAGUACUGCAGGGGAGACUGGAAUUCCUGGUGUAGCGGUGGAAUGCGCAGAUAUCAGGAGGAACACCGGUGGCGAAGGCGGGUCUCUGGGCAGUAACUGACGCUGAGGAGCGAAAGCGUGGGGAGCGAACAGGAUUAGAUACCCUGGUAGUCCACGCCGUAAACGGUGGGUACUAGGUGUGGGGUUUCCUUCCUUGGGAUCCGUGCCGUAGCUAACGCAUUAAGUACCCCCGCCUGGGGAGUANGGCCGCAAGGCUAAAACUCAAAGGANUUGACGGGGGGCCCGCACAA
This 824-nucleotide ribosomal RNA is filed under the name Mycobacterium sp. RNAcentral describes it as "bacterial SSU rRNA". It matches the Rfam family "Bacterial small subunit ribosomal RNA", at positions 107 to 928 of the family's 1533-position model. Lineage: Bacteria; Bacillati; Actinomycetota; Actinomycetes; Mycobacteriales; Mycobacteriaceae. The record is from RNAcentral.